RNAcentral lists this ribosomal RNA (253 nucleotides) under uncultured bacterium. RNAcentral describes it as "partial 16S ribosomal RNA". It matches the Rfam family "Bacterial small subunit ribosomal RNA", at positions 524 to 776 of the family's 1533-position model. The record is from RNAcentral.
CACAGAGGGGGCAAGCGUUGUUCGGAAUUACUGGGCGUAAAGGGCGCGUAGGCGGCCAACUAAGUCGGACGUGAAAUCCCCGGGCUCAACCCGGGAACUGCGUCCGAUACUGGAUGGCUUGAAUCCGGGAGAGGGAUGUGGAAUUCCAGGUGUAGCGGUGAAAUGCGUAGAUAUCUGGAGGAACACCGGUGGCGAAGGCGGCAUCCUGGACCGGUAUUGACGCUGAGGCGCGAAAGCCAGGGGAGCAAACGGG